This 75-nucleotide transfer RNA is filed under the name Marmota monax (woodchuck). RNAcentral's name for it is "tRNA.Ala". Lineage: Eukaryota; Metazoa; Chordata; Mammalia; Rodentia; Sciuridae. The record is from RNAcentral.
CUGGGGUUGUUGCUCAUUGGUAAAGCACUUGCCUGGCAUGUGUGAGGCACUGAGUUCGAUUCACAGUACCGCAUA